UACGGAGGGUCCAAGCGUUAUCCGGAAUCAUUGGGUUUAAAGGGUCCGUAGGCGGUUUUGUAAGUCAGUGGUGAAAGCCCAUCGCUCAACGGUGGAACGGCCAUUGAUACUGCAAGACUUGAAUUAUUGUGAAGUAACUAGAAUAUGUAGUGUAGCGGUGAAAUGCUUAGAGAUUACAUGGAAUACCAAUUGCGAAGGCAGGUUACUACUAAUGGAUUGACGCUGAUGGACGAAAGCGUGGGGAGCGAACAGG
RNAcentral lists this ribosomal RNA (253 nucleotides) under uncultured bacterium. Its description in RNAcentral is "partial 16S ribosomal RNA". It matches the Rfam family "Bacterial small subunit ribosomal RNA", at positions 524 to 776 of the family's 1533-position model. The record is from RNAcentral.